AAAUGAAUUGACGGGGGCCCGCACAAGCGGAGGAACAUGUGGUUUAAUUCGAUGAUACGCGAGGAACCUUACCCGGGUUUAAAUGUAGAUUGCAUAAAGCAGAGAUGUUUUUUUCCUUCACGGGACUAUUUACAAGGUGCUGCAUGGUUGUCGUCAGCUCGUGCCGUGAGGUGUCGGCUUAAGUGCCAUAACGAGCGCAACCCUUGCUGUUAGUUGCUAGCAGGUCAUGCUGAGAACUCUAACAGGACUGCCGUCGCAAGGCGAGAGGAAGGGGGGGAUGACGUCAAAUCAGCACGGCCCUUACAUCCGGGGCUACACACGUGUUACAAUGGUAGGUACAGAGGGCUGCUACACUGCGAAGUGAUGCUAAUCUCGAAAGCCUAUCGUAGUUCGGAUUGGAGUCUGCAACCCGACUCCAUGAAGCUGGAUUCGCUAGUAAUCGCAUAUCAGCCAUGAUGCGGUGAAUACGUUCCCGGGCCUUGUACACACCGCCCGU
Molecule: ribosomal RNA, 496 nt
Filed under: uncultured bacterium
Lineage: Bacteria
Description: bacterial SSU rRNA
Rfam family: Bacterial small subunit ribosomal RNA
Source: RNAcentral